This 268-nucleotide non-coding RNA is filed under the name Nocardioides dokdonensis FR1436. RNAcentral describes it as "raiA RNA". It matches the Rfam family "raiA RNA". The record is from Rfam by way of RNAcentral. Lineage: Bacteria; Bacillati; Actinomycetota; Actinomycetes; Propionibacteriales; Nocardioidaceae.
UCCGUCCGGGUCCGUGGUUGCGUCGUGGGGACGCUCCGGCCAGCCCGGGCGUCCGCGCGACAAGCCGAUGCCAGUCGCAGGCGAAACGGUCCACGUAAGUCGACCUCCCCUCGAGGGGGGCGACGAUCACGGUGCGGCUUAGAAGUCAGUCCUGCCUCGGUCGGACCGUCAGAUGCGGUCCUCGCCGGGAGAAGGCGGGUAGUGGCAGAGAAGCUGCGAGAGCCUCAGCAGGCGGUUGUGGGGACGAAGACCAGGUCGGCCGGACGGG